Paramisgurnus dabryanus is the source of this 1511-nucleotide non-coding RNA. The record is from RefSeq and is a predicted model, not a curated record. Lineage: Eukaryota; Metazoa; Chordata; Actinopteri; Cypriniformes; Cobitidae.
AGCUCGCGCUUGCGCGACAGAAGGGUCAACUUCCUGCUCCAACCUGCAAUUUGAAUGCAGGGAUAAUAACAAAUAACCAAAGUUUAAUAAUAUUGCUGGAUUUUUUAUAAUGCUUAAUAAAUGAUGCGUGUAAAUUUACACAUAUUUAUUACGUCACUGAUAUAGUUUUUUAUUGCGUUUAUUUCUUUUAUAUUGAUUUGAAAAUGAAAACCUUAUUUAAUUGACCUAAAAUUUGUUUGUGUUUAACACUGAUUUAUGUUGUUUUUCUGUUUAAUAUUAGUGUGUCCUGGUAAACGUGUGCUCGGAAACAUGCAGAUUACAGUAUUUACAGAGCCGACCUUGAGGCACCCACUGAUGGAUAAUCUGUUUACCUAAAAACAGCCCACCACAAUCCAUGUUUACCAGCUGUGGAAGUGCAGGCCAAAAAUCUUCCUUCACCUGUGGGCCUCUUCCCACAUGUAGAUAAGCACUUCAGGAGAAACCUGCCUGUGAUCUGCUAAGAUGCACAGAUUCAACUCUGGCCCAUUGUCAUCCCAACACCUCAUCUGCCAUCAGUUUCGUUUAGUGUCGGUCUAUUGCAAAAGUUCAUAUAAACUUUAAAUGAGACUUUGUGUUAAGCAGGGGUUUCCAAACUUUUCAUUCCACAACAUAUUAAGCCCAGGAUACACAGCAGGAUUUUUGCAAUCCAAUAAGACCUUAUCACACUGUGUGACAAGGAUUGUUUAAACUUCAGCAGUAGACUGUCGAUGAAGACACCUAUUGCAUCUGAGGCUGCGACAUCCGUUAUCAGCAUGCGCUAGUGGUAAACAAAUACAGGUACGCAGGUCGAGGAAGCAAACACGUUGUUGAUGUGCGUUGAUCAUGCUGAACUUCUUACACUGUCAUAAAACUAUCGUAGGUGUCUUUGGUCCCAGGACUGGGAAAACAGACGUCUUUAAACCUCUCACACUGUACGAGAUAGGACCACCAAUUAAGAGCCACGAUCACAGAAAUCUCCACGAUUGUUUCACGAUUGGUAAUCUUUCAUCUGGGACAGCCAAAAAUCGUGCCGUGUAUUAUGGGCUUUAGACAGGUGUAAUCUUAUAGUAUAUCAAAACCAUUGCUAAUAAUUAAUUGGACAAACCAUCACUACAAUGCAACACUCACUAUCUUACGGGGCGACCCACAAGUGGGUCUUCACCCACAGUUUAAAAACCCUGAGUAUGAGUAAGAGUAUGUUGUAUUGUAAUUAAAGUCACAUCUAAGUGUUAUGGAACAGUUUGUCAUUAUAUUCACAGUAUUACAUGGUUCUUUCAGCAGUUACUACGUUACAGUGCUCUUAAAGUGUCCUGAUCAGCUUUGGGUCUUGUGAAGUAAUGUAAUGAGAAUGUGAUCAAUAUCUUUGCAGUAUUUUUGUUACACUGUGGCUGUAAUCAUAUUAACACAUAGGUUAAACAUUUUAUUCAAAUUUGGUAAACAAACUAGUCAAUAUAAUUCAUGCUGUGAUGCUGGAUUAAACUUGGUCAAAUGAU